This is an unclassified non-coding RNA of Cavia porcellus (domestic guinea pig), 96 nucleotides long. It matches the Rfam family "Y RNA". From Rfam's summary of the family: Y RNAs are components of the Ro ribonucleoprotein particle (Ro RNP), in association with Ro60 and La proteins. The Y RNAs and Ro60 and La proteins are well conserved, but the function of the Ro RNP is not known. Lineage: Eukaryota; Metazoa; Chordata; Mammalia; Rodentia; Caviidae. The record is from Ensembl.
GGCUGGUCCGAUGGCAGUGGGUUAUCAGAACUUAUUAACAUUAGUGUCACUAAAGUUGGUAUACCACCCCCCACUGCUAAAUUUGACUGGCUUUAA